GGGAUGCCCCUAUCAUGGAGGAGCAGCUGACCACGAGCUGUAAAAUUGUGAGGAGUUCAAACAAGAGGUCCAGAACUUACUGUCCCUCAAAGUUCUGAGAUGCCAAGCAAGGUCGAAGAUGGAAGGGGGAGUGAACACAGCUCGAUUCAGCCAAAAUACCUCAACCUCUAAACACAGAAUCACCUUUUCAGCCCCAGCCUCACCACCAAUAACAAUC
This 217-nucleotide unclassified non-coding RNA is filed under the name Hevea brasiliensis (rubber tree). The record is from RNAcentral. Lineage: Eukaryota; Viridiplantae; Streptophyta; Magnoliopsida; Malpighiales; Euphorbiaceae.